This 483-nucleotide ribosomal RNA is filed under the name uncultured bacterium. RNAcentral describes it as "partial 16S ribosomal RNA". It matches the Rfam family "Bacterial small subunit ribosomal RNA", at positions 28 to 507 of the family's 1533-position model. The record is from RNAcentral.
GACGAACGCUGGCGGCGUGCUUAACACAUGCAAGUCGAACGCUGAAGCUCAGCUUUUGUUGGGUGGAUGAGUGGCGAACGGGUGAGUAACACGUGAGUAACCUGCCCCCUUCUUUGGGAUAACGCCCGGAAACGGGUGCUAAUACUGGAUAUUCACUGGUCUUCGCAUGGGGGUUGGUGGAAAGGGUUUUUCUGGUGGGGGAUGGGCUCGCGGCCUAUCAGCUUGUUGGUGGGGUGAUGGCCUACCAAGGCUUUGACGGGUAGCCGGCCUGAGAGGGUGACCGGUCACAUUGGGACGGAGAUACGGCCCAGACUCCUACGGGAGGCAGCAGUGGGGAAUAUUGCACAAUGGGCGCAAGCCUGAUGCAGCGACGCCGCGUGAGGGAUGGAGGCCUUCGGGUUGUGAACCUCUUUCGCUAAUGGUCAAGCCGCAACAAUGGUUGUGGUGAGGGUAGUGGGUAAAGAAGCGCCGGCUAACUACGUG